UAAUAAUUUCAAUUACAGGGUUGUCCCCAUACCCUGUCCAGUAUGAGCGCAAAGACAUUAAACCUCAAUACCACGUCCGAUAUGAGUGUCAAACUACCUAAUCUCCAAACUCCGUCCGGUAUGAGACAACGUUCACGGUAGGGUUCCCUACAUACCCAGUCUAUCUACCAUCUCUUAUGAUAUAUAGUAAGGUUGUCAUUAUAUCUGUUUAUUUGAUCAUACCCAUUUCCUGUUUUU
Molecule: long non-coding RNA, 237 nt
Filed under: Carica papaya (papaya)
Lineage: Eukaryota; Viridiplantae; Streptophyta; Magnoliopsida; Brassicales; Caricaceae
Description: long non-coding RNA (CPAP_LNC007512)
Source: RNAcentral